Mastomys coucha (southern multimammate mouse) is the source of this 318-nucleotide long non-coding RNA. RefSeq lists it as uncharacterized. The record is from RefSeq and is a predicted model, not a curated record. The transcript has 2 exons. NCBI's taxonomy places the organism in Eukaryota, Metazoa, Chordata, Mammalia, Rodentia, Muridae.
GAGAGAGAGAGAGAGAGAGAGAGAGAGGGGUGUGAGUGCUAGGAAGCAAUCUAAGGUCCUUUGCGAGAGCUGUAUGUACACCUAACCACUGAGCCAUGUGUCCAGCUACCUCUCUGCUCUUUCCAGGAGCACUCACUUGCCAGCCACUUACUUAUGAACUCCCUACAAAGGAUCUAAAGCUUAUCUGCCUGAUGAGUUCACCCUCAUCUGAGAAUUAAAUGGGAAUUAAAACUGUGGAGGAAACAGUUAAAAUUUCACCCAGAUGCGGAGUACAAUAGGCAAGCCCCGGCUAAACAUUUGAGGAGCAAACAUGGAGAG